AGUUGCGAACUCGCGAGAGUAAGCUAAUCUCUUAAAGCCGUUCUCAGUUCGGACUGUAGGCUGCAACUCGCCUACACGAAGUCGGAAUCGCUAGUAAUCGCGGAUCAGCAUGCCGCGGUGAAUACGUUCCCGGGCCUUGUACACACCGCCCGUCACACCAUGGAAGUUUGCAAUGCCCAAAGUCGGUGGCCUAACCAUUUGGAGGGAACCGCCUAAGGCAGGACAGAUGACUGGGGUGAAGUCGUAACAAGGUAUC
RNAcentral lists this ribosomal RNA (256 nucleotides) under uncultured bacterium. RNAcentral describes it as "partial 16S ribosomal RNA". It matches the Rfam family "Bacterial small subunit ribosomal RNA", at positions 1245 to 1500 of the family's 1533-position model. The record is from RNAcentral.